UACGGAGGGAGCUAGCGUUGUUCGGAAUUACUGGGCGUAAAGCGCACGUAGGCGGCUUUGUAAGUUAGAGGUGAAAGCCCGGGGCUCAACUCCGGAACUGCCUUUAAGACUGCAUCGCUUGAAUCCAGGAGAGGUGAGUGGAAUUCCGAGUGUAGAGGUGAAAUUCGUAGAUAUUCGGAAGAACCCCAGUGGCGAAGGCGGCUCACUGGACUGGUAUUGACGCUGAGGUGCGAAAGCGUGGGGAGCAAACAGG
RNAcentral lists this ribosomal RNA (253 nucleotides) under uncultured bacterium. RNAcentral describes it as "partial 16S ribosomal RNA". It matches the Rfam family "Bacterial small subunit ribosomal RNA", at positions 524 to 776 of the family's 1533-position model. The record is from RNAcentral.